Molecule: long non-coding RNA, 133 nt
Organism: Asparagus officinalis (garden asparagus)
Lineage: Eukaryota; Viridiplantae; Streptophyta; Magnoliopsida; Asparagales; Asparagaceae
Exons: 2
Source: RefSeq, a predicted model, not a curated record
UCACAGCCGGCGAUCUCUUCUCCUCUACCUUCUCGCCAGUCGCCACUCGCCAGCCGGCGAUCUCUUCUCCUCUACUCUCCUCUUUGAAGUGGUAUCCUUUGGAGCUGCGGAAGGAGAAAUCUACUAAAGGCAA